AUGAACGCUAGCGGCAGGCUUAAUACAUGCAAGUCGAGGGGCAUCGGGUGUAGCAAUACAUGCCGGCGACCGGCGCACGAGUGCGUAACACGUAUACAAUCUGCCUUUAACAGGAGGAUAGCCCGGAGAAAUCCGGAUUAAUACUCCAUAACAGUAGAGCAAGCAUUUGCUUUAUUUGAAAGCUCCGGCGGUUAAAGAUGAGUAUGCGUCUGAUUAGCUAGUUGGUAGUGUAACGGACUACCAAGGCAACGAUCAGUAGGGGAUCUGAGAGGACUACCCCCCACACUGGUACUGAGACACGGACCAGACUCCUACGGGAGGCAGCAGUAAGGAGUAUUGGACAAUGCCCGCAAGGGUGAUCCAGCCAUGCCGCGUGCAGGAAGAAGGCCCUAUGGGUCGUAAACUGCUUUUGAACAAGAGAAAACCCUCCUACGUGUAGGAGGCUGAUAGUAUUGUUAGAAUAAGCAUCGGCUAACUUCGU
Molecule: ribosomal RNA, 481 nt
Filed under: uncultured bacterium
Lineage: Bacteria
Description: bacterial SSU rRNA
Rfam family: Bacterial small subunit ribosomal RNA
Source: RNAcentral